Molecule: ribosomal RNA, 344 nt
Filed under: uncultured bacterium
Lineage: Bacteria
Description: partial 16S ribosomal RNA
Rfam family: Bacterial small subunit ribosomal RNA
Source: RNAcentral
CCUACGGGUGGCAGCAGUGAGGAAUAUUGGUCAAUGGACGAGAGUCUGAACCAGCCAAGUAGCGUGAAGGAUGACGGCCCUAUGGGUUGUAAACUUCUUUUAUAAGGGAAUAAAAUGUGCCACGUGUGGGAUUUUGUAUGUACCAUAUGAAUAAGGAUCGGCUAACUCCGUGCCAGCAGCCGCGGUAAUACGGAGGAACCGAGCGGUAUACGGAUUUAUUGGGUUUAAAGGGAGCGUAGGUGGCUUGUUAAGUCAGUUGUGAAAGUUUGCGGCUCAACCGUAAAAUUGCAUUUGAAACUGGCAGUCUUUCUUACAGUAGAGGUGGGCGGAAUUCGUGCUGUAGC